Molecule: long non-coding RNA, 308 nt
Filed under: Fukomys damarensis (Damara mole-rat)
Lineage: Eukaryota; Metazoa; Chordata; Mammalia; Rodentia; Bathyergidae
Description: lncRNA (ENSFDAG00000030768.1)
Source: RNAcentral
GACAACAGCAACGAUGGAGGUGAUGACAAAGGUGAUGAUGGAAACAAUGAGGGAGCCCCUGUGCCCUUGAUGAGGACCUCUGAUUAAAUGUGGCAUCUGACACUGCAUGGUGAACACAAACUAGGUCAGAGCCUCUCUUGGGAAUUAUAAUUAUUGAUUUGCAGCCACAUAGUGCAUUCUGUGACCCAAGCAAUGCUCUAAGUAAUGCCUUGACAGUUAUCAAGGAAAACACCGAUUCUUCCAGACCGGAGCAAGGAAUUGUCCACGUUGUCCGACUUGCAAGAGCUCUGAGAUCAAAGCACACGUAG